This 69-nucleotide transfer RNA is filed under the name Ictidomys tridecemlineatus (thirteen-lined ground squirrel). RNAcentral's name for it is "Spermophilus tridecemlineatus (thirteen-lined ground squirrel) tRNA". It matches the Rfam family "tRNA". From Rfam's summary of the family: Transfer RNA (tRNA) molecules are approximately 80 nucleotides in length. Their secondary structure includes four short double-helical elements and three loops (D, anti-codon, and T loops). Further hydrogen bonds mediate the characteristic L-shaped molecular structure. tRNAs have two regions of fundamental functional importance: the anti-codon, which is responsible for specific mRNA codon recognition, and the 3' end, to which the tRNAs corresponding amino acid is attached (by aminoacyl-tRNA synthetases). tRNAs cope with the degeneracy of the genetic code in two manners: having more than one tRNA (with a specific anti-codon) for a particular amino acid; and 'wobble' base-pairing, i.e. permitting non-standard base-pairing at the 3rd anti-codon position. Lineage: Eukaryota; Metazoa; Chordata; Mammalia; Rodentia; Sciuridae. The record is from Rfam by way of RNAcentral.
GGGGCUGUAGCUCAGUGGCGGAGCACUUGCCUUGCAUGUAUGAGACACUGGGUUCGAUCCUCAGUACCA